AACGUUAUUGAAGAUCAAAUCAGGAGACAAAUUUCCGGGGUUUAUUUGGGAACUUAUUUGAAAGGUGAACUUUCAAUUGAAUUGAUUUAAUUUAAUAUAAUAAUUGACCAUUAAUUAUGUAAGAUUCUCAAUAGCAUAUUUAUAUAUGAUAUGUAGAUCAUACCCCAAAUCAAUAUACAGUUAUCAAACGUAAAUGCAUUUUAAUAUAGGAUGUCAUUAAAAAGGAGGGUCAUUCUUAUAUAAAAUCUCGCAAAAUUAUGACCCAUAUUUUUGGCACAUCCCCGUAUACCCAAUAAAAGGAAGUUACCCCCCCCCCCC
Molecule: long non-coding RNA, 318 nt
Filed under: Mytilus galloprovincialis (Mediterranean mussel)
Lineage: Eukaryota; Metazoa; Mollusca; Bivalvia; Mytilida; Mytilidae
Source: RNAcentral